AACGUAAGAGACGAACGUUAUCCGGAAUUACUGAGCGUAAAGGGCGUGCAGGCGGUUUGAUAAGUUCGGCGUGAAAUUUUUCGGCUUAACCGGGAAAUGUCGUCGGAGACUGUCGGACUAGAGGGUGAUAGAGACGUGUGGAAUUCCGAGUGUAGUGGUGAAAUGCGUAGAGAUCCGGAGGAACACCAAUGGCGAAGACGACGCGCUAGAUCACAUCUGACGCUAAGACGCGACAGCAUGGAGAGCGAACGGG
Molecule: ribosomal RNA, 253 nt
Filed under: uncultured bacterium
Lineage: Bacteria
Description: partial 16S ribosomal RNA
Rfam family: Bacterial small subunit ribosomal RNA
Source: RNAcentral